This 84-nucleotide transfer RNA is filed under the name Actinomycetota bacterium. RNAcentral's name for it is "tRNA-Leu". It matches the Rfam family "tRNA". Rfam says of the family: Transfer RNA (tRNA) molecules are approximately 80 nucleotides in length. Their secondary structure includes four short double-helical elements and three loops (D, anti-codon, and T loops). The record is from RNAcentral. Lineage: Bacteria; Bacillati; Actinomycetota.
GCGGGCGUGCUGGAAUUGGCAUACAGGCCGGGUUUAGGUCCCGGUGCUCACCCGAGCUUGAGGGUUCGAGUCCCUCCGCCCGUA